GAUGAACGCUGGCGGCGUGCCUAAUAUAUGCAAGUCGAGCGAACAGACGAGGAGCUUGCUCCUCUGACGUUAGCGGCGGACGGGUGAGUAACACGUGGAUAACCUACCUAUCAGACUGGGAUAACUUCGGGAAACCGGCGCUAAUACCGUAUAAUUUAUUGAACCACAUGGUUCAAUAGUGAAAGACGGUUUUGCUGUCACUUAUAGAUGGAUCCGCGCCACAUUCGCUAGUUGGUAAGCUAACGUCUUACCAAGGCUACAAUGCAUAACCGAACUGCGAGGGUGACGGGCCAAGCUGCGACAGGGACACGGUCCAGCAUAAUACGGCACGCAGCAGUAGGGAAUCUUCGGGAAAGGGUGAAAGACUAACGAAGAACCGUCAGGAUAGUCCUGACGGACUUCGGAUAGUAAACGCCUGUUAGUAGGGACGAAACACUGUGUCAGUAUGUAUGCCCGUAUUGACGGUAAAUACUCAGAAAGCCACGGCUAACUACGUG
RNAcentral lists this ribosomal RNA (497 nucleotides) under uncultured bacterium. RNAcentral's name for it is "partial 16S ribosomal RNA". It matches the Rfam family "Bacterial small subunit ribosomal RNA", at positions 28 to 507 of the family's 1533-position model. The record is from RNAcentral.